This 257-nucleotide ribosomal RNA is filed under the name uncultured bacterium. RNAcentral's name for it is "partial 16S ribosomal RNA". It matches the Rfam family "Bacterial small subunit ribosomal RNA", at positions 521 to 776 of the family's 1533-position model. The record is from RNAcentral.
UAAUACGAAGGGGGCUAGCGUUGUUCGGAAUCACUGGGCGUAAAGCGCACGUAGGCGGAUUAUUAAGUCGGGGGUGAAAUCCCGAGGCUCAACCUCGGAACUGCCUUCGAUACUGGUAAUCUUCGAGUCCGGGAGAGGUGAGUGGAACUCCGAGUGUAGAGGUGAAAUUCGUAGAUAUUCGGAAGAACACCAGUGGCGAAGGCGGCUCACUGGCCCGGUACUGACGCUGAGGUGCGAAAGCGUGGGGAGCAAACAGG